AUCCUGCAAUGAGGUCUCUCUAAAACUUACAAGUUACAAAGCCCGUACAGCUCACUCUGGUAUUUUUACCACACUUUCUGCAAAGGUAAAAAGUGUAAGUGCAAAUACACAGAUUUUCAACAGCUUGGAAGGGGUUUUGGAGAUUAAAGUUUAAAUAUUUAGCCUCUACAGUCUUGCAGCCUUUAUCGGAGUAAACCUGUUCCUUGAGGAGGGGCCUAGCAAGAGAUUACAAAUGCCGCCUUUCUGCCCUCAAAGAAAAAAGGGAGCUGUGGAUGCUAAAUGCACAAAGCAAGCAGGGAACACAGAGCCUGUGUGAAACUAAGUCACACAAACUUCUCACUCUGGCCUGGGAAAGCAUAAAGAAGAAUCUAAACAGUCAUUGGAAAAAGACAACAACCUUUGCAGAGCUCUCUGUCCUGGACCUGACUUUGUUCCCGUGCUGAAUAAAUGGUUUCGUGAACCGGGAGCCCGUCUUGUUGGUGUUUCGUGCUGGUCCCCAGAAUCCUGCUGCUUCCCUGGACGAGAUCCUGAGGUUGCUGACUGCAACAAUAAUAAACUCAGCUCUCUUGGACAAUGCAGCUAAGAGAGUAAGUGUCGUACUUCUCGCCAUUUCUAAUAUAGUGUACAUCAUCAGGGAUGAUGGGGUCCAUAAAAACCUCCCAAACACCAAGAUUCA
Long non-coding RNA from Parus major (Great Tit), 676 nucleotides. RefSeq lists it as uncharacterized. The record is from RefSeq and is a predicted model, not a curated record. NCBI's taxonomy places the organism in Eukaryota, Metazoa, Chordata, Aves, Passeriformes, Paridae. The transcript is spliced from 3 exons.